This 250-nucleotide unclassified non-coding RNA is filed under the name plant metagenome. Its description in RNAcentral is "partial contains small subunit ribosomal RNA, internal transcribed spacer 1, and 5.8S ribosomal RNA". The record is from RNAcentral.
GUAGGUGAACCUGCGGAAGGAUCAUUGCCUGAGGGCGCGUGGCCGAGCGUCGCUAAACACGGCGUGGAGCCCGCGCAUUACUCACCAACAACCCAUGUGAACCAAAGUGACGUGACGGGUGGCGUGCCGCACGCGCGCUUCUGGCGCGCGCGCGCACCCUCCAUCUCUCCUUUUUAUUUACUUAACCACGUUAACCCUGCUUCUCUGACUGAGAUUGAGCGACCUUAACAACGUCGUGACCAAACCAAAC